This 205-nucleotide unclassified non-coding RNA is filed under the name plant metagenome. RNAcentral's name for it is "partial contains small subunit ribosomal RNA, internal transcribed spacer 1, and 5.8S ribosomal RNA". The record is from RNAcentral.
UCUCCGUAGGUGAACCUGCGGAGGGAUCAUUACUGAGUGAGGGCCUCUGGCCCGACCUCCAACCCCUUGAUGUCCGACUCUGUUGCCUCGGGGGCGACCCGGCCUUCGGGCCCGGGGCCCCCCGUGGUCCACUCAACUCUGCAUCUUUGCGUCUGAGUAAACAUUAAAUGAAACAAAACUUUCAACAACGGAUCUCUUGGUUCUG